This 365-nucleotide ribosomal RNA is filed under the name uncultured Thauera sp. Its description in RNAcentral is "bacterial SSU rRNA". It matches the Rfam family "Bacterial small subunit ribosomal RNA", at positions 1014 to 1382 of the family's 1533-position model. Lineage: Bacteria; Pseudomonadati; Pseudomonadota; Betaproteobacteria; Rhodocyclales; Zoogloeaceae. The record is from RNAcentral.
UGCCUUCGGAGCCAGAACACAGGUGCUGCAUGGCUGUCGUCAGCUCGUGUCGUGAGAUGUUGGGUUAAGUCCCGCAACGAGCGCAACCCUUGUCACUAGUUGCCAGCAUUAAGUUGGGCACUCUAGUGAGACUGCCGGUGACAAACCGGAGGAAGGUGGGGAUGACGUCAAGUCCUCAUGGCCCUUAUGGGUAGGGCUUCACACGUCAUACAAUGGUCGGUACAGAGGGUUGCCAAGCCGCGAGGUGGAGCUAAUCCCUUAAAGCCGAUCGUAGUCCGGAUCGUAGUCUGCAACUCGACUACGUGAAGUCGGAAUCGCUAGUAAUCGUGGAUCAGCAUGCCACGGUGAAUACGUUCCCGGGUCUU